This is a long non-coding RNA of Dermochelys coriacea (leatherback sea turtle), 455 nucleotides long. RefSeq lists it as uncharacterized. Lineage: Eukaryota; Metazoa; Chordata; Testudines; Dermochelyidae. The record is from RefSeq and is a predicted model, not a curated record. The transcript is spliced from 3 exons.
AAGCUCUGUGAUCAAUGAAUCAGAUAUUCCACCCCGCACACAAUGUCUCGGCCCCCUGGGGAUGGGGAGGGGCUCAUUAGCACAACACAUGCACCUGCCCAUUGAUCCUGAGCUGCCUCCUUUCCCCACAGCACAUUAACUACUGGAUCAUGUCCAGGGUGUCGCGAGAGAGAGCCAGGCCAUUAGGAGCAGCACAGCCCUUCUCAGAUCCACCAUCACCCUCCCUGAGUUCAACAACUCAGCUGAAUUCCCCAGGAUGGGUCACCAUGUGGCACAGCUACCUCUGUUUGUCGAUGACCCAGCCAAGGACAUCAGCCAGCAGGCCAGGGAGGGGGUUUACCUGCUCUACCAGCUGCUGCUGUACCAGAGGGGCACACAGCGAGGACUCUGCCCACUGUGCAGCCACCAGUGGGAUUGGAAGGACACAAACACUGAAACCAGAAUGACAAAUGUGU